RNAcentral lists this ribosomal RNA (518 nucleotides) under uncultured Bacillota bacterium. RNAcentral's name for it is "bacterial SSU rRNA". It matches the Rfam family "Bacterial small subunit ribosomal RNA", at positions 355 to 863 of the family's 1533-position model. The record is from RNAcentral. Lineage: Bacteria; Bacillati; Bacillota.
UAGGGAAUCUUCCACAAUGGACGAAAGUCUGAUGGAGCAAUGCCGCGUGAGUGAAGAAGGUUUUUGGAUCGUAAAGCUCUGUUGUAAGGGAAGAACAAGUAUGGGAGUAACUGCCCGUACCUUGACGGUACCUUAUUAGAAAGCCACGGCUAACUACGUGCCAGCAGCCGCGGUAAUACGUAGGUGGCAAGCGUUGUCCGGAAUUAUUGGGCGUAAAGCGCGCGCAGGCGGCCUUUUAAGUCUGAUGUGAAAGCCCCCGGCUCAACCGGGGAAGGUCAUUGGAAACUGAAGGGCUUGAGUACAGAAGAGGAAAGCGGAAUUCCACGUGUAGCGGUGAAAUGCGUAGAGAUGUGGAGGAACACCAGUGGCGAAGGCGGCUUUCUGGUCUGUAACUGACGCUGAGGCGCGAAAGCGUGGGGAGCAAACAGGAUUAGAUACCCUGGUAGUCCACGCCGUAAACGAUGAGUGCUAAGUGGUUAGGGGGUUUCCGCCCCUUAGUGCUGGAGCAAACGCAUUAA